AAAGAAAAUAGUUCAGCACUAAGUCACUUUGUCUUUAUGGCAAAUGUGAGAUGCAGUGUAUGGAACAUCUAUCUUCUAAUAUGAAAAAUUAUCGAUUUAAGUCCUUCUUAAAUGAGGCCAUUUACCCAUAGAGGGUGCCAGGCCCGUAUAACGAUAAUAAUUAUUAGAUGAUGUUUCCAAAGAGUCGUGUUGCUUGAUAGUGCAGCACUAAGUGGGUGGUAAACUCCAUCUAAAACUAAAUAUAACCAUGAGACCGAUAGUAAACAAGUACCGUGAGGGAAAGUUGAAAAGAACUCUGAAUAGAGAGUUAAAUAGUACGUGAAACUGCUUAGAGGUUAAGCCCGAUGAACCUGAAUAUCCGUUAUGGGAAAUUCAUCAUUAGAAUUAUAAUAUUUUAAUAUAUAUUAUAAUGAUAGUGUGCAUUUUUCCCAUAUAAGGACAUUGUAAUCUAUUAAUAUAUUGAAUUUAUCAUAAAAUAUGGCUUAUAGUUUAUUUUUAUUAUUAUGCUUGCAUUUUAACAUAAAAUAAAUGCCAUUCAAUUUGAUAAAGUAUUGAUAGAUUUAUAUGAAAUACAAUGCGUUAAUUUUUCGAAAUUAUAUAAUGGCACAAUUAUCAAUGAUUUUUGUGUUUAUUAUAAGCAUUUGUAUGAUUAA
This 653-nucleotide ribosomal RNA is filed under the name Chymomyza procnemis. Its description in RNAcentral is "eukaryotic LSU rRNA". It matches the Rfam family "Eukaryotic large subunit ribosomal RNA", at positions 97 to 642 of the family's 3401-position model. The record is from RNAcentral. Lineage: Eukaryota; Metazoa; Arthropoda; Insecta; Diptera; Drosophilidae.